UUCUCCUGGGAAACGGGUGGUAAUGCCGGAUGCUCCGACUCCUCGCAUGGGGUGUCGGGAAAGAUUUCAUCGGUAUGGGAUGGGGUCGCGUCCUAUCAGGUAGUCGGCGGGGUAACGGCCCACCGAGCCUACGACGGGUAGCCGGCCUGAGAGGGCGACCGGCCACAUUGGGACUGAGAUACGGCCCAGACUCCUACGGGAGGCAGCAGUGGGGAAUAUUGCACAAUGGGCGCAAGCCUGAUGCAGCGACGCCGCGUGCGGGAUGACGGCCUUCGGGUUGUAAACCGCUUUUGAUCGGGAGCAAGCCUUCGGGUGAGUGUACCUUUCGAAUAAGCACCGGCUAACUACGUGCCAGCAGCCGCGGUAAUACGUAGGGUGCAAGCGUUAUCCGGAAUUAUUGGGCGUAAAGGGCUCGUAGGCGGUUCGUCGCGUCCGGUGUGAAAGUCCAUCGCUUAACGGUGGAUCUGCGCCGGGUACGGGCGGGCUGGAGUGCGGUAGGGGAGACUGGAAUUCCCGGUGUAACGGUGGAAUGUGUAGAUAU
Molecule: ribosomal RNA, 541 nt
Filed under: Bifidobacterium pseudocatenulatum
Lineage: Bacteria; Bacillati; Actinomycetota; Actinomycetes; Bifidobacteriales; Bifidobacteriaceae
Description: bacterial SSU rRNA
Rfam family: Bacterial small subunit ribosomal RNA
Source: RNAcentral